RNAcentral lists this ribosomal RNA (1597 nucleotides) under Pomacea canaliculata. RNAcentral describes it as "18S ribosomal RNA". Lineage: Eukaryota; Metazoa; Mollusca; Gastropoda; Architaenioglossa; Ampullariidae. The record is from RNAcentral.
CCCUCCGUCUUCCGCGACUUGCCGAACACCAGGUAACCCUAAGCUUUAAAUGCAAAAGUGAUUUAGCUUGAGCUAGGAUAAGAAUUUUUGCACCAGACCCUCACCUCUCUCGUUAAAAAAAAAAGGGGGAAAGUGCUACGGCCUGAGCGGCUAAUGGCCUGGUACUGUCGGCUUUGAGGCUCCACUGAAGGACUAGAACUUCAUGGGCUAAGAUGACAUCGGACAAGCAACUCACGCGUUGCACGGGGGACCGACGAACCAAUGCAAGUCACCACUGGAUACACAGACUUUAUUGCCUCCUAUUCUUCGCAGAGUCUUUAUUUGAUGCUACCUUGUAGAGGCUUUUGUAACUGUACUGGGGGGUACAAUGCGUGCCUAUACGAUCGUUUGUAUGCUAUACCUCUUGAUUCACACUCCGAAAUUCAAAAGGAUCGAUAGGCCACGCUUUCACGGUCUGUAUUCGUACUGAAAAUCAAAAUCAAGCGAGCUUUUGCCCUUUUGCUCUACGCGAGGUUUCCGUCCUCGCUGAGCUCGCCUUAGGACACCUGCGUUACCUUUUGACAGAUGUACCGCCCCAGGCGAGGUGCCGGCGCGAGCUUAAUUCCAGAAGCGAUGGGCUUGCGCCUCGCUCUCCGCUCGACUGAAUAAGUAAAGAAACGAUAAACACCUGCGGAUCGCUAGCUGGCAUCGUUUAUAAUCAGAACUACGACAGUAUCUGAUCGUCUUCGAGCCUCUGACUUUCAUUCUUGACCAAUGGCAAAUGCUUUCGCAGUUGUUCGUCUUGCAAUGAUCCAAGAAGUUCGCCUCUAACACCGCAAUACGGAUGCCCACGUCUGUCCCUCUUAAUCAUUGCCUCGUGUUGCCAAAACCAGCAAAAUAGAAGCGAGGUGCUAUUCCAUUAUUCCAUGCACCAUUAUUCAGGCUGACGAGCCUGCUUUGAACACUCUAAUUUCUUCAAAGUAUGCCUGAGAUCCAACUACGAGCUUUUUAAUCGCAACAACUUUAUUAUACGCUAUUGGAGAUGGAAUUACCACGGCUGCUGGCAUCAGACUUGCCCUCCAAUUGAUCCUCGUUAACGGGUUUAAAGUGUACUCAUUCCAAUUACGGAGCCUCAAAAGAGUUCCGUAUUGUUAUUUUUCGUCACUACCUCCCCGAGCUGGGAAGUUGCGCGCCUUGGAUGUGGUAGCCGUUUCUCAUGCUCCCUCUCCGGAAUCGAACCCUUAUUCCCGUAGUCAACAUGGUAGACAUGUCACGUACCAUUGACAUUUGAUAAGGCAGACAGGAAAAAGAUACUUCGCCGGCUCGAGGCCAUGCGAUCGGCACAAAGUUAUCCAGUCACCAAAGGGGACGGGGCCGAAACCCCGACUGGUUUUGAACUAAUAAAAGCGCUCUUUCCUGGCUUUGACACCCGGUCGGAGCUGGUUUGCAUGUAUUAGCUCUAGAAUUGCCACAGUUAUCCAAGUAGAAAUGGAUCAUCUAAGGAACCUCGACUGAUUUAAUGAGCCAAUUGCGGGUUCACAAUACGAGGGUGUGAAGUUAGACAUACAUGGCUUAAUCUUUGAGACAAGCAUAUGACUACUGGCAGGAUCAACCAGAA